GGUAGAUACGGGCCGGCAGACAGGUAGAUGCUGAGGGGGAGGGCGUUGGCCGGAUUUGUUGGGCGUGAAGGUGGUGUAGGCGGCCAAGUAGGGCUGGUGUGAAAACGCGAGGCGUAACCUCGAUAUGUCAUCGGAAACCAUUUGGCUAGAGUCCGGAAGAGGAGAGUGGAAUUCCUGGGGUAGCGGUGAAAUGCGCAGAUAUCAGGAAGAACACCAAUGGCGAAAGCAGCUCUCUGGGACGGUACUGACGCUGAGACGCGAAAGCGUGGGGAGCGAACAGGAUUAGAUACCCUGGUAGUU
RNAcentral lists this ribosomal RNA (300 nucleotides) under uncultured Lactobacillus sp. RNAcentral's name for it is "bacterial SSU rRNA". The stretch from base 52 to 300 matches the Rfam family "Bacterial small subunit ribosomal RNA", at positions 547 to 795 of the family's 1533-position model. The record is from RNAcentral. Lineage: Bacteria; Bacillati; Bacillota; Bacilli; Lactobacillales; Lactobacillaceae.